Peromyscus maniculatus bairdii (prairie deer mouse) is the source of this 587-nucleotide non-coding RNA. NCBI's taxonomy places the organism in Eukaryota, Metazoa, Chordata, Mammalia, Rodentia, Cricetidae. The record is from RefSeq and is a predicted model, not a curated record.
CCGCCGCCGCCACCACCACCACCUCGGGGCUUCAAUAGGAGAUCCUGAUGGCGCGUUAAGCGACAGGACGACAAAGGCCAGCAGGGGCGCUGCUGCAGGAUGAAGGAAUGUGCUCUUGAUACCAGUUUCCACCCUCACGCCUGCACUUCCUUACACGGAACCAACCAGAAGACCAGUGGAAGCCAGGGAGUCACACAUGCAAGACUCAGCGCGGCCAGCCCGGGCUGCUGAGUCACGGCUAGAGGCCUUCAGCAAGCUCAGUGACAAGCUCCUCCGAGCCGGACCGGCAGGAAGUCCCCGCUCAGGAAAAUCAAUCUGUAAGUCUCGCUCAAGGAUGAUCAUGAGAAGGAGCAGCCAGCCACAGGCACAACACAAAUCCAGAGCCUGAUUCACCCAAGCAAACGAAAGCACCCCCAUGUCGGCCUUGCCAGGGCACACUAGCAGGAGCACAGAAUGGAAUCACUCUCUUGAUCUCGUUAGGCACGGAGGAAGAAAGAAUGCGUCUGAGGGCCACAGAGGCUGCGUGCGCCGCAGCCGGCCCUUGCCCGACACCCAGCCCGUGGACACACCUAGCCGCACCACGUCAC